RNAcentral lists this long non-coding RNA (917 nucleotides) under Vigna radiata. RNAcentral's name for it is "long non-coding RNA (VRAD_LNC013218)". The record is from RNAcentral. Lineage: Eukaryota; Viridiplantae; Streptophyta; Magnoliopsida; Fabales; Fabaceae.
CAGACCCAAGAAACUUCAAAAAAACCAUUGGUGUGAGUAAUAACUGAUGGCUGCAAAUUUAUUGAAUCCUUAAACAAUUUUAGUAUAAAUAUAAGUGUUAGUUGUUUGGUUUCACUUUCUCACGAUAUGGUGUUUCAAUUGGGCUUAUACAGAAGAUACUCAGUGUCCAGUACUCAGUCCCAGAUUAUGUACGAGUUUCCAUGGAAUGUAGACAUCUUCUAUCACAAAUAUUUGUGGCAAGUCCUGAAAAGGUAACGUAUUUAAUAUCUAGAAUCUUAAUUGUUUUCUGCAUCUAUAAAAUAGUUAUUAGAUAAAAGAUUUAAUUGCUUAAUUUCUGGAGCAAAAUGCUUAUAUAGAUGCUCUUCAUAUUUAUUCUCAGCUAACUUAAAAGUUCCAUGUUUUGGGCACAAUUCUAGCAAUGCUUAUUGUUUCUUCUAUUGAAAUGCAUUUAGUCUCCUUUCUCAUUGUAUUGAUCCAUUUAAGGCAUUUUACAGAGAAUAACAAUACCAGAAAUUAAAAACCAUCCAUGGUUUUUAAGGAACUUACCCAUAGAACUGAUGGAAACUGGAAGCUGGCAAAUAAAUGAUGUAAAUAAUCCAUCACAAAGUGUUGAGGAAGUGCUGUCUAUAGUACAAGAGGCUAGAAAAUCUCUUAAUGUUCCAAUUGUUGGUGGCCUUCUUAAUGGGGGCACCAUGGACCUUGAUGACUUGGAGGCUGAUGAAGAAGAUCUUGAGGAUGUAGAAACAAGUGGAGAAUUUGUGUGCCCUCUUUGAGUGUGUGUACAUGAACAAGCUAAGCUAUUGUUUGAUGUGAAAAUGUGAAUAGAUUUUUCUGUUAGGGCUGAAAUUCCUUAGUUUUUAAAUUAAGGGUUUUUUUUUCUUCUUAUUUUCAUUUUUCCCUCUGAAAUCCAUGUGCCG